GCGCCGGUGUAGGUCGCACGCCAGUAACCCGCCCCUGCCUGCGGGGCGGUGGUGGAGAAGGCGAAGCCCUCACCGUUCCACCUGGCGUCCGGCACG
Molecule: transfer RNA, 96 nt
Filed under: Streptomyces nojiriensis
Lineage: Bacteria; Bacillati; Actinomycetota; Actinomycetes; Kitasatosporales; Streptomycetaceae
Description: tRNA-Arg
Source: RNAcentral